GGAGUUGUGGCUCAGUGGUAGAGAGCUUGCCUUGCAAGCAUGAGGCCCUGGGUUUGAUUCCCAGCACCA
RNAcentral lists this transfer RNA (69 nucleotides) under Leptotrombidium deliense. RNAcentral describes it as "tRNA-Ala for anticodon UGC". It matches the Rfam family "tRNA". Rfam says of the family: Transfer RNA (tRNA) molecules are approximately 80 nucleotides in length. Their secondary structure includes four short double-helical elements and three loops (D, anti-codon, and T loops). The record is from Rfam by way of RNAcentral. Lineage: Eukaryota; Metazoa; Arthropoda; Arachnida; Trombidiformes; Trombiculidae.